Molecule: ribosomal RNA, 261 nt
Filed under: uncultured prokaryote
Description: partial 16S ribosomal RNA
Rfam family: Bacterial small subunit ribosomal RNA
Source: RNAcentral
UACGUAGGUGGCGAGCGUUAUCCGGAAUUAUUGGGCGUAAAGAGCGCGCAGGUGGUUGAUUAAGUCUGAUGUGAAAGCCCACGGCUUAACCGUGGAGGGUCAUUGGAAACUGGUCGACUUGAGUGCAGAAGAGGGAAGUGGAAUUCCAUGUGUAGCGGUGAAAUGCGUAGAGAUAUGGAGGAACACCAGUGGCGAAGGCGGCUUUCUGGACGAUAACUGACGCUGAGGCGCGAAAGCGUGGGUAGCAAACAGGAUUAGAUA